AAACCUUGGCCCAACUUGGAUUUUGAUUUGGGUUGAGUCUUUGAGAGGAUAGUUGAAGAAACAAAACCAAGGUCUAGAAUCUCUAGAUAUAAAACAACAGAGAUUCCCUGUUUAAAAAGCGCGCCAAAACCUCAAAUUUGUAUAUUUCCCUCCCCAUUAUAAAUACAAAAACCCGCUUCUAAUACUAAAUACACCGAGUCUGCUAGGGUUUUUGAAUACGAAGAGAGAGAAAAUGAAUGGCUCAGCCUCAGCUAUGGAAUUAGAUCAACCACAAGAAGAGGAAGAUCGUUUCCUUGCGUUCGUCGAUUACGCGAGGUCUGUGCUCUCGCUUGAAUCCGAAGAAGAAGAUCGAGAUCGAGAUCCGAAUGGAAACGGAUCCGAGACCUCAGGGCCUGGUUGGAGCUGGAUCGCGUCUCGGAUCCUCAAGACUUGCGUUGCCUAUUCCAGUGGCGUCACCACCGCGAUUCUACUCUCUGAUCUCUCUCAGGCAUGGAAUGAGCAACACAGGGCCAGGGCUCCGAGGAAAAGGCUGGAAUGUAUAAAUCAAUUGAAAAAGAAACAUAGGAGAACAAAGCUUCCAAACACCGUUACAAUUGACUCUAUAUAUGAGAGAAAUUUUCUAUCCUUAGGUGGUGUAUUGGAAGUUGUGAUCGUCGAUGCCUUCUCUCUCCCAGGUACAAAUAUCUACAUGCUUACUUUGGGGGAUUUUUGGAGCUCCAAUACCAUCGAUCUUUAUCUCCACCGAAGAUACUAUGAUUUGGUGGAUCCUCAGAAUGGGAUUCUGAAGAAAGGAAGGGAGAUUUUCCUCACAGGAUGCUAUCUUCGGACUGCCACUGAAGGAUCUGGUUGUCCUCGACUUUUGCCAACAGAAUAUCUGGUGAUAUUGUUAGAUGAGGAGGAAGAUGAUGAUGCAAUGCUGCUAGGAGCUCAGUUUUGUUCAGAUUCUUUCUCUUCCAUUUCUCUUGAUGCUGUCAACAAAGGGAUUUCCUUUUCAUUGUAUGCCAGGAUUGAAUCUAUUGGGUCACUGGAAAUUCAGGGAAGGUUAAGUACCUUACAGGGGAAACAAAUUACUCUUGUUGAUAGCGAUGGUGUCAAGUUAAAUUUUCUACUCUGGGGUGAGCAGGUUAUUCUUGCUAAUCUUUGCAGUGUUGGAAGCAUGCUUGCAUUGGAUAGACCAUAUAUUGCAAGUUCCAUAGAGAGUUCCAUUGAAACAAGUGAUGAGUUUUGCCUUGAAUACGGCAGUGCAACACAAUUAUAUUUGGUGCCUUUCAUUCAACAUGAGGAACAAGUGUGUGUAACAUUGACACAAAAUCGGAACCAAGGACCUCGGCUGCUGAAUACAUUAGAUUCUAGUCAGGAACCUAAAGUUUCUCAAGUUUCCUUGCCAUGUGAUUCUUUGGGUUCCAUUGACUUCAGGGAUUAUCCUUUUCGAUCGUUUGUUAUAGACCUUCGUGACAAGAUGACUGGAAUCAGCCUAUAUGGUGUUGUUACAGAUAUUAUUAAAGAAAAACAUGCUGAAGAAGCUAUUUUCUCGCUUAGAAUUGAAGAUACCACUGGAGUAAUAUGGGCAAAGCUACAUUUUGCAAAAUCUUGGUCACUGGGAAGAGUAAACCUUGGUCACACAGUGUAUAUUUCUGGUUUGACAUGCUCUAUGUCGAAGCGAAAUUGCCUGGAAGCAUUAUGGUUGGAGAAUAAUGUUGGAUCUUCUUUCUUCAAUCUCAGUUGCUUGCCCGCAUUGCUAAACUCUUCUUGUCUUCAUAAAUUAUCAAGCCUUUGUGAUCUAUCCAGCCAGACUAGCAGUACACAGAUAUGUCGAGUGUGGCUUGAUCAAGUUGCAAAUUGUCACGUUAAUACGAAAUAUUCACAUGCUCUCUGCGGUCAUUUUGUUAACAAGACACCAAGUGGGGUUAUGGUAUGCAGCUUCUGUCAUCACAAUUGUGAUGCUGAAGUUACGCGCACUUUCCACCUGAAAAUCACUCUUGCAGAUGAGAGUGCGAAAGUUUUUGCAUGGUGUACUGGUCAAACAGCUGCAGAGUUGCUGCAAAUAUCACCUGACGAAUUCUAUGAACUACCUGAGGAAGAACAGGUGAUGUAUCCUUCUUCGCUAGAGAAUGAGAGGUUUAUGGUUGCAUUAGUUAAUUGCAAGAAGCAGGGUUAUGGAGUCAGUGGUGGUCUUAUCCAAGAAAAUGAUGAUGUGUCAUGGGAGAUAACUCGUGCAUUGAAGUUUGAAUAAUGUUAUGUAUGCGAAAUUUUAGUUGUUUUUGACUAAUCACCUUCACUUGAAAAAAAGGUGUAACAGGAAUUCCAUUCAGCACGACGACGAUAAAGUUAGACGCUGGCCUCGUUUAAGUGUCAUGUUGGGAUGCAACAUAAAUUUGUAGCAAGGUAAGAUAUGUAACAAGGUUAAUAAUUAUGCAAACUUAAUUUGAAACCUUAAAUACUCGUAAGCCUAAAACCUAAAUCCAUAGUUUGAGUAUUCUAUUCGGGAAGUGAAGUAGAUAAUUGAAGUCAAUUUUACUUGAUUAAAAAACUAGUACCAAUUUUCAUCGAAAAAUGCGGUGCAAGAUGCUAU
Molecule: RNA transcript, 2572 nt
Organism: Quercus lobata
Lineage: Eukaryota; Viridiplantae; Streptophyta; Magnoliopsida; Fagales; Fagaceae
Gene name: Nucleic acid-binding proteins superfamily
Exons: 14
Source: RefSeq, a predicted model, not a curated record